RNAcentral lists this long non-coding RNA (1354 nucleotides) under Heterocephalus glaber (naked mole-rat). RNAcentral's name for it is "lncRNA (ENSHGLG00100038469.1)". The record is from RNAcentral. Lineage: Eukaryota; Metazoa; Chordata; Mammalia; Rodentia; Bathyergidae.
UAUUCACUAAAAAGCUCAUUUUAUAUCUCUUUCAGAAAAAAAAGCCUUCAGAUAAGAAUUCCACCACUUUCCCCCACCAAUUUAUAAAACAUAUCUGCUUGUCAUAAUAAUUUUUCUUUCUUUCCCUUUGUUCUGCUUUUAUCAAAGUCCAAUUCUUCACUAGUUUCAAGUCCACCUGAGACUUAAAUCCUGGUAAACCUAUGUCUUGGGUGGGCAUAGCAAGGAUGAUCACAGCCGUUAUGACCUCUUUAUUAGCUGUCCAGUGGUUGUUGGAAUGCAGAACUACUGGACAUCCACCAAGGCAUUCUUUUCUAUGUGGGAACUAAUGCCUUGGGGGUCCAAGAUGCUUUUGCUGACUUUCUCCCAGGCUGACCCUCAUAUGAGCUCCAUUUAGAUGUGAACCCCUGGUCUUACCCUGACCUGUAUGAUCCUAAAGCCAAAUGGAGGCUCAGGUAUAUAGUAUCCCCUUCCAACCCUCUUCCUUGCAAAUUUACCCUCAAAGGUAGGUGCUUUGAGGCUGUUAGUUUUGCAGUACUUGUGGUUGAAACUUUGCCCCAUUUCCCUCCUGUGCUGGAGCAGGCUGGGCAUCCCCUGGUCCUCAUUGUCAACUCUCCAUUUCCAAAUCCCUCUUAGAACACUUGUAUAUCUUCUGUGCAAUGUGUAAUAAAAUAUCUCUCUUGUUCUUUUAUUUUAAGGCCAAGUCAUCAGUGUAGACUUUGAAGCACUUAACCUAUGUGUUUCUCAAGAGUAUGCUCUUUGGAUUAUCUUCUGUCCCUCUCUGCUUUUUCCCAUGGAAUUAUUAGAAUUUUACUAUCUGAGAAUGAGUAUAAGUGUCAAAAGGAGAAGAAAAAGAUGAGAAGCCAGAUGACCAGUAAGGAAGCUGACUUGUAUACACAUGCAGGAGAUUCUCUAGGAAUAUAUUAAGAAGUAAAUAUUUUGCAUAUCUUCAACUUUAUGAGAGUGUCUAGAACCUGUCCAUUUCCAUGAAAAUUUUGAAUUGACAUCUCCAAGUAAAGAAAACAAAGCAACAGUGAAAUUAGUGGAAAUUGCAUCAAAUUUACAAAUCUGUUUGGAUGCAACUAACUUUAGUCACCGAAGAUUGCCUGCUGAAGAUGAACAACCUAAAAUUAGAAAACACACAAGGAAACCAUCCACAAAAAACAAGAAUCAGCAGAUGCUAUAAACAGCAGCUCUCUCUCAUUUGCCAUCCUCCUCUGCCAUGCUACCCUGCCUUGAAGCCAGCUGACUAUGGUCCAGAACCUCUACAAACUGUAAGCCAAAAUAAACCUCUCCUCCUUAGAGCUGUGGGUGUCAGGUGUUGUGUCUCAGUGGCAAGAAACUAAGACAAAGACCA